GGGAAUUUAAUCCACAGGGAAAUUUCUGUUGGGAAAGCAUCUUUAAAGUCAAGAUCAGCCGACCAUUGUUUCAAAAUCAUAGGCCUAUUAGCAAUUGAAUAUGGUCCUCCACACAGUAUUUCUUUGGCAUCAUCAAGGGACUGAAAUUUAACUAUCUAGUAACCCUCAUCAUGGCAAAAUAAUUCAGGCUCAGGCACAUGAGACCAGUGUAUGCUAAUAAAUCUUUUCAUAGCAUUGUACCCUGGUCCAUUGCCUAGAACAAAAAUAACUAGGGNNN
RNAcentral lists this long non-coding RNA (277 nucleotides) under Nicotiana benthamiana. RNAcentral's name for it is "long non-coding RNA (NBEN_LNC018701)". The record is from RNAcentral. Lineage: Eukaryota; Viridiplantae; Streptophyta; Magnoliopsida; Solanales; Solanaceae.